ACAAACAAACAAUCAAAAACGGAAACGAAAUAGUAUCUUUCUCUUUCUCUCUUUCUCUCUCUCUCCUCUCUUUCUUUCUCUCGCUACCAAUUUCUCUUUCAGUAGGAAGAAGGGAGCUUUCUCAGUUCGUGUUCGGAAGAAAGAAGAUGCUUGAAAUAAAAGGCGAGCAGCAGAAAGGAAAACGACAAU
RNAcentral lists this non-coding RNA (189 nucleotides) under Fragilariopsis kerguelensis. Lineage: Eukaryota; Bacillariophyta; Bacillariophyceae; Bacillariales; Bacillariaceae. The record is from RNAcentral.